Molecule: ribosomal RNA, 421 nt
Filed under: uncultured bacterium
Lineage: Bacteria
Description: bacterial SSU rRNA
Rfam family: Bacterial small subunit ribosomal RNA
Source: RNAcentral
GAAUUUUGGACAAUGGGCGCAAGCCUGAUCCAGCCAUGCCGCGUGUGGGAAGAAGGCCUUCGGGUUGUAAACCACUUUUGUCAGGGAAGAAACGGCUCUUACUAAUAUUAGGAGCUAAUGACGGUACCUGAAGAAUAAGCACCGGCUACCUACGUGCCAGCAGCCGCGGUAAUACGUAGGGUGCAAGCGUUAAUCGGAAUUACUGGGCGUAAAGCGUGCGCAGGCGGCUAUGCAAGACAGAUGUGAAAUCCCCGGGCUCAACCUGGGAACUGCAUUUGUGACUGCAUGGCUAGAGUACGGUAGAGGGGGAUGGAAUUCCGCGUGUAGCAGUGAAAUGCGUAGAUAUGCGGAGGAACACCGAUGGCGAAGGCAAUCCCCUGGACCUGUACUGACGCUCAUGCACGAAAGCGUGGGGAGCAAA